RNAcentral lists this ribosomal RNA (587 nucleotides) under uncultured bacterium. RNAcentral describes it as "partial 16S ribosomal RNA". It matches the Rfam family "Bacterial small subunit ribosomal RNA", at positions 355 to 937 of the family's 1533-position model. The record is from RNAcentral.
UGGGGAAUUUUGGACAAUGGGCGAAAGCCUGAUCCAGCAAUGCCGCGUGUGUGAAGAAGGCCUUCGGGUUGUAAAGCACUUUUGUCCGGAAAGAAAUCCUUGGCUCUAAUACAGUCGGGGGAUGACGGUACCGGAAGAAUAAGCACCGGCUAACUACGUGCCAGCAGCCGCGGUAAUACGUAGGGUGCAAGCGUUAAUCGGAAUUACUGGGCGUAAAGCGUGCGCAGGCGGUUUGCUAAGACCGAUGUGAAAUCCCCGGGCUCAACCUGGGAACUGCAUUGGUGACUGGCAGGCUAGAGUAUGGCAGAGGGGGGUAGAAUUCCACGUGUAGCAGUGAAAUGCGUAGAGAUGUGGAGGAAUACCGAUGGCGAAGGCAGCCCCCUGGGCCAAUACUGACGCUCAUGCACGAAAGCGUGGGGGAGCAAACAGGAUUAGAUACCCUGGGUAGUCCACGCCCUAAACGAUGUCAACUAGUUGUUGGGGAUUCAUUUCCUUAGUAACGUAGCUAACGCGUGAAGUUGACCGCCUGGGGGAGUACGGUCGCAAGAUUAAAACUCAAAUGAAUUGACGGGGUCAUAGCUGUUUCC